UACAGAGGGUGCAAGCGUUAAUCGGAAUUACUGGGCGUAAAGCGCGCGUAGGCGGCUGCCUAAGUCGGAUGUGAAAUCCCCGGGCUUAACCUGGGAACUGCAUUCGAUACUGGGCGGCUAGAGUAUGAGAGAGGGAGGUAGAAUUCCACGUGUAGCGGUGAAAUGCGUAGAUAUGUGGAGGAAUACCGGUGGCGAAGGCGGCCUCCUGGCUUAAUACUGACGCUGAGGUGCGAAAGCGUGGGGAGCAAACAGG
Molecule: ribosomal RNA, 253 nt
Filed under: uncultured bacterium
Lineage: Bacteria
Description: partial 16S ribosomal RNA
Rfam family: Bacterial small subunit ribosomal RNA
Source: RNAcentral